Molecule: microRNA precursor, 94 nt
Filed under: Canis lupus familiaris (dog)
Lineage: Eukaryota; Metazoa; Chordata; Mammalia; Carnivora; Canidae
Description: mir-8834 microRNA precursor family
Rfam family: mir-8834 microRNA precursor family
Source: Rfam by way of RNAcentral
AGGAGCAACAGCCCUAGUGGCGGGGCCGCUCUGGAAACCUGGAUUCAGCUCCGGCAGGAACUCCGUCUGCAGGGCCUGGAGGCUCCGGGGCGGG